Non-coding RNA from Pelobates cultripes (western spadefoot toad), 296 nucleotides. Lineage: Eukaryota; Metazoa; Chordata; Amphibia; Anura; Pelobatidae. The record is from the annotation of a GenBank genome assembly.
CUCUAACAGCCAUCUUAGGAGUGGCCAGUGAAGUUAUCACUAGACUGUAAUGUAAACGCUGCAUUUUCUCUGAAAAGACAGUGUUUACAGCAAAAAGCCUGAAGGUAAUGAUUCUACUCACCAGAACAAAUUCAAUAAGCUGUAGUUGUUCUGGUGACUAUAGUGUCCCUUUAAUGUUACAUGCAAACUUUAAUGGAUGGCAGACAGAGGUAUGGAGGGGAUCUUCACUCCUUAGGAUUUUAAGACCAACAAUAUAUCCAAAUGACCACGUCAGUUACACAGGUGACACAGCAGAG